GGGUUGGGCUGUUCGCCCAUUAAAGCGGUACGCGAGCUGGGUUCAGAACGUCGUGAGACAGUUCGGUCCCUAUCCGUCGUGGGCGUAGGAAAUUUGAGAGGAGCUGUCCUUAGUACGAGAGGACCGGGAUGGACAUACCUCUGGUGUACCAGUUGUCGUGCCAACGGCAUAGCUGGGUAGCUAUGUGUGGACGGGAUAAGUGCUGAAAGCAUCUAAGCAUGAAGCCCCCCUCAAGAUGAGAUUUCCCAACUUCGGUUAUAAGAUCCCUCAAAGAUGAUGAGGUUAAUAGGUUCGAGGUGGAAGCAUGGUGACAUGUGGAGCUGACGAAUACUAAUCGAUCGAAGACUUAAUCAAAA
RNAcentral lists this ribosomal RNA (356 nucleotides) under Staphylococcus aureus. RNAcentral's name for it is "bacterial LSU rRNA". It matches the Rfam family "Bacterial large subunit ribosomal RNA", at positions 2569 to 2925 of the family's 2925-position model. Lineage: Bacteria; Bacillati; Bacillota; Bacilli; Caryophanales; Staphylococcaceae. The record is from RNAcentral.